Molecule: transfer RNA, 75 nt
Filed under: Parasaccharibacter apium
Lineage: Bacteria; Pseudomonadati; Pseudomonadota; Alphaproteobacteria; Acetobacterales; Acetobacteraceae
Also listed under: 29 other names
Description: tRNA-Val
Rfam family: tRNA
About the family: Transfer RNA (tRNA) molecules are approximately 80 nucleotides in length.
Source: RNAcentral
GGAUGCGUAGCUCAGCGGUAGAGCACUGCCUUCACACGGCAGGGGUCACAGGUUCAAUCCCUGUCGCAUCCACCA